RNAcentral lists this ribosomal RNA (581 nucleotides) under uncultured bacterium. RNAcentral describes it as "partial 16S ribosomal RNA". It matches the Rfam family "Bacterial small subunit ribosomal RNA", at positions 355 to 932 of the family's 1533-position model. The record is from RNAcentral.
UGGGGAAUUUUGGACAAUGGGCGAAAGCCUGAUCCAGCAAUGCCGCGUGUGUGAAGAAGGCCUUCGGGUUGUAAAGCACUUUUGUCCGGAAAGAAAUCCUUGGCUCUAAUACAGUCGGGGGAUGACGGUACCGGAAGAAUAAGCACCGGCUAACUACGUGCCAGCAGCCGCGGUAAUACGUAGGGUGCAAGCGUUAAUCGGAAGUUACUGGGCGUAAAGCGUGCGCAGGCGGUUUGCUAAGACCGAUGUGAAAUCCCCGGGCUCAACCUGGGAACUGCAUUGGUGACUGGCAGGCUAGAGUAUGGCAGAGGGGGGUAGAAUUCCACGUGUAGCAGUGAAAUGCGUAGAGAUGUGGAGGAAUACCGAUGGCGAAGGCAGCCCCCUGGGCCAAUACUGACGCUCAUGCACGAAAGCGUGGGGAGCAAAACAGGAUUAGAUACCCUGGUAGUCCACGCCCUAAACGAUGUCAACUAGUUGUUGGGGAUUCAUUUCCUUAGUAACGUAGCUAACGCGUGAAGUUGACCGCCUGGGGAGUACGGUCGCAAGAUUAAAACUCAAAUGAAUUGACGGGGUCAUAGCUG